Molecule: long non-coding RNA, 2058 nt
Filed under: Ananas comosus (pineapple)
Lineage: Eukaryota; Viridiplantae; Streptophyta; Magnoliopsida; Poales; Bromeliaceae
Description: long non-coding RNA (ACOM_LNC015704)
Source: RNAcentral
ACAAUUUGAGCAUACCAUACUUAUCACAAGGACUGGCGCAGAAAUUUUGACAAAGUUUUGAGAUAUACCUACAGUUAAAUGCAACAAAGGAAUAUCUUCAAUUUUAUGAAUUUUGAGAAUUGGAAUUCAUCCAAAACCCAUGGAGCGAGGCAACAACUACAUGUAUCUUGUUGUUUUGAUGGAAAUUUACUUAUGUAGCUAUUUCUCUUUCCUCUUCGCGGAAGUAAGUAUCUGCACGAUUGUAAUCACCCUUUUCAUUUUAUUCAUUUUUGCAAAAUUUGAUGCUUUUUUUUGUUUUUGUUUUUCCAGAGUUUAAGGUUAGAUGUUCUGCUGGAGGAAGUUAGAAAUUUUCGGCCAUUAUCUAGAAAAGAAACGUGGAGGCAUCCACAUUUUGUUUGUAUUAUUACAUGUAUCUUCUCUGGAUGGGUAGUAGAUUGUGAAAAACUGUGUUCUUAUUGAUGAAUGAUGAUCAACUUAAACUCUCUUUAAUCCCAAAACUUUGAAUGUAAAGGUAUAUUCGACAAACAUUAGCUGUCUCAUUUUGACAAACAUUAGCUCCUAUUUCAUCUUUAUUUCCACAAAUGCUUUCCCUUUCUAUAUUAUAUUUGAAUGUAAAGGUAUAUUCGACUCAACGCUAUCGUCUUUCUCAUGUACCAUAUUUUGUGUUUGUAAUCUAGAAUACUGUUUGUGGCUUAAACAGGCUGCUCGAGCUUGGUUUGAGAAAUUGUGUUGCUCCGUCAAUUUGCAUAUUUCGGACUCUUGAGUUUGUUUUGCGCAGCUGCGUGUUUGGAACAGAGAGAGUGGAUGGUCGAACUGAGCAGGAAUACAAUGUUUGUAUUGCUGAUGUGGUAUCUCAAUCAAUCAAAAAGUUCGCCUGUGGUUUACCUAUUUCAUCAUAGUUUUUUUAAAAAAGUAUUUUUGUUAGACAUUUUUUUUCCUCAAAAUAAGAGAUAUGACAGACUGUAAAUAAAAAAAAAAUGGUGUAAUGCAUGUCGGAAGCAGACGUCCCUGUAAUUUGCGGUGUGCAAAGUUCUGUCAGAGCUCACAGCUCGGCCUCCGACCCAGCCAAUUUCUUCGAGCCCAAGCAUACAUCCAUCGCCUGCAAUGCUGACACACUACUGGGCCUCAAAUGUCACACCAACGCUAGCGAUAUAUCACCCACAUGCUUGAGCGGAGAGCACUUCUUUCCGCCACAGUGGCCAAAAAUGUCAACUUUGUAAACCGGAGGCCACGCAUUCACGCUGCGACGACUGAUCGCUACGCGCGAACCUCCACGCGCUCGUCCUCACGGGCAUUUUGGUCAUUUCACAGCAGAAUCUUCCCCUGCACCUGCACUUGAUAAACUAUGUAAUUAUAAAACAAGCAUUAGGCAACUUUCCCUUGGUCCGUUUCCUCAAAAACAUUAUCAUGAUUAUUCUUAUAAUAAUAAUAAUAAUAAUAAUAAUAAUAAUUACUAUAAAUUUGCUCAUCAUUAGUAUGCUUUCUCUUGCUUUUGCUAGUAUAUCCCCUUUUCUCAUUCAAUAAAUUAAGCCGAAUCGUAUUUUGUACCUGGUCUUUCAAUUCACUUAUUACCACCCUAGCAGCUAAGCUAGAAUUGAUACUAAAAUAGCUUGAAGUGAAAGGGUCAAACAUACCAACAUGUUGUUAACUUGUUAUUAUUAUUUUUUUCCAAAACGAAGAACGUGUACAUGUCUAUAAUAAUUUACCAUAGAAAGAACGGAGUAGUAGCAGAAGAAUGAAAAAAAUCGCGCAACUUCCACAGUGGAACUCACAAGUCACAACANACGAUGGGGAGCAUUGAAUGUGUGACAUGGGAGGAUGGCUGGACAACUGUGACAGCUGAUGGGGGUAGAGCUGCACAAUUUGAGCAUACCAUACUUAUCACAAGGACUGGCGCAGAAAUUUUGACAAAGUUUUGAGAUAUACCUACAGUUAAAUGCAACAAAGGAAUAUCUUCAAUUUUAUGAAUUUUGAGAAUUGGAAUUCAUCCAAAACCCAUGGAGCGAGGCAACAACUACAUGUAUCUUGUUGUUUUGAUGGAAAUUUACUUAUUAGCUA